AUCUAGUCUGAUCUCAAAAGCUAAGCACAGGCGGGCCUGGUUAGUCCUUGGAUGGGAGA
RNAcentral lists this ribosomal RNA (59 nucleotides) under Ailuropoda melanoleuca (giant panda). Lineage: Eukaryota; Metazoa; Chordata; Mammalia; Carnivora; Ursidae. The record is from RNAcentral.